UGUACUUAACCCGCGGGGGGUUGCAAACGGAAAAACUAACUAGUGUAUAUGAUUAUAUAUCGUUAGUACACCAUUGUACAGAUAUUAAUUUUGUUUGUAGCCACGUGGAUAAUUAAUCAUCAUCAUUUUAAUUUUGCCCGUGAUGUUAGCCUGAAGAAAAAAAUCAACUUUUUUAAUUGAACUGAAGCUAGUUUUGUCGGAAAUCGUUUGUAGUUCAUGAUUUGCUUGUUUUUAUAUACCUCAAUCAUCGAAUAUAAUCAAAUAAAAAUUGUGAUUACUCCCCAUUCGAGUCUAUUUUACUGGCGCGUAAUGGCGAAGGGAGAGGGGGCAGCAGUUAGAUCGUGCGGGCAAAAUUCAAAUGAUUAUUAAUUAUCCACGGGGUUGCAAAUAAAAUGAAUAGAUGUACAAUGAUGUACAUUAGUUAGUUUUUCCAUUUGCAACCCUCCGUUGGCUAAGUACAUUGGGGCGGUACGUUUAUGUGAGGGUGAACGACUGAUGGAAGGGAUUUUAUGAAGAAUUAUUUGAAUUAUUGUCGGUGGAAAUGUAAUUUUCAAGAUUAUUUUAGUUAGUUUUAAAGACUAAUGAUGUACGAGUGCUGGUAAAACAGAAAUUCCUUAUGAUUGGGGCGAUGGGAGAUGGCGCGAUCGGUGCUGCUUUGAAAUUUGAAGUACUGCUGAUGGAUACUUUCAUGCUUUACCUUAUUUAUCUUCUAUUUCUGGAAUCAUGUUAUCACCUGAAGCCAACCGUCAAGUUGGAAACUGGAUCACCAGAAAUCCAGGGUGGCAAAUAAAGUUUCAUGUUCAUCAACUAUUGGAGUUUGGGAGAAAUAAAAUUAAUGGAUUAUGCUGGAGGCAAUCAAUCGGACCCGACAAAUUUACAUUUGGAAACACCCAGAGUAGCGACCGAAUUAAACAAUG
Diachasmimorpha longicaudata is the source of this 917-nucleotide long non-coding RNA. RefSeq lists it as uncharacterized. The transcript has 3 exons. The record is from RefSeq and is a predicted model, not a curated record. Lineage: Eukaryota; Metazoa; Arthropoda; Insecta; Hymenoptera; Braconidae.